GAUGAAGAACGUAGCGAAAUGCGAUAAGUAAUGUCAAUUGCAGAAUUCAGUGAAUCAUCGAAUCUUUGAACGCACAUUGCGCCCGGUAGUAUUCUGCCGGGCAUGCCUGUUCGAGCGUCAUUUCAACCAUCAAGCCCCAGCGCUUGUGUUGGGGGCCUGCGGCUGCCGCAGCCCCCUAAAAGCAGUGGCGGGCUCGCUAUCACACCGAGUGCAGUAGUUCAUCUUCUCUCCGGUCUUGUGAGGCGGGUUCCGGCCGUGAAACACCCCACUACAUUCAAGGUUGACCUCGGAUCAGGUAGGAAUACCCGCUGAACUUAAGCAUAUCAAUAAGCGGAGGA
This 338-nucleotide unclassified non-coding RNA is filed under the name soil metagenome. Its description in RNAcentral is "partial contains 5.8S ribosomal RNA, internal transcribed spacer 2, and large subunit ribosomal RNA". The stretch from base 1 to 120 matches the Rfam family "5.8S ribosomal RNA", at positions 35 to 154 of the family's 154-position model. The record is from RNAcentral.